GCUAUUUUGACAGAUAAAUGUGAUAAAUUUAGAAUUUAUUAAUAAAUAAUUAUAUUAUUUAGAUAGUA
Molecule: transfer RNA, 68 nt
Filed under: Rhyacophila quadrifida
Lineage: Eukaryota; Metazoa; Arthropoda; Insecta; Trichoptera; Rhyacophilidae
Description: tRNA-Leu
Source: RNAcentral